Molecule: ribosomal RNA, 253 nt
Filed under: uncultured bacterium
Lineage: Bacteria
Description: partial 16S ribosomal RNA
Rfam family: Bacterial small subunit ribosomal RNA
Source: RNAcentral
UACGUAGGGUGCAAGCGUUAAUCGAAAUUACUGGGCGUAAAGCGUGCGCAGGCGGUUAUGCAAGACAGAUGUGAAAUCCCCGGGCUCAACCUGGGAACUGCAUUUGUGACUGCAUGGCUGGAGUGCGGCAGAGGGGGAUGGAAUUCCGCGUGUAGCAGUGAAAUGCGUAGAUAUGCGGAGGAACACCGAUGGCGAAGGCAAUCCCCUGGGCCUGCACUGACGCUCAUGCACGAAAGCGUGGGGAGCAAACAGG